GAGUGAAGCGGCAACAGCUCAAAUUUGAAACCUGGCGCAAGCCCGGAUUGUAAUUUGCAGAGGAUGCUUCUGGGCAGCGGCCGUUCUAAGUUCCUUGGAACAGGACGUCAUAGAGGGUGAGAAUCCCGUAUGUGACCGGCGCGCACCCUCCACGUAGCUCCUUCGACGAGUCGAGUUGUUUGGGAAUGCAGCUCUAAAUGGGAGGUAAAUUUCUUCUAAAGCUAAAUACCGGCCAGAGACCGAUAGCGCACAAGUAGAGUGAUCGAAAGAUGAAAAGCACUUUGGAAAGAGAGUUAAAAAGCACGUGAAAUUGUUGAAAGGGAAGCGCUUGCAACCAGACUCCGCGGCGGUGUUCCGCCGGUCUUCUGACCGGUCCACUCGCCGCCGCGGGGCCAACAUCGUCUGGGGCCGCCGGAUAAGACCGGAGGAAUGUAGCUCCUAGAGUGUUAUAGCCUCCGGUGAUGCGGCGCGUCCCGGGCGAGGUCCGCGCUUCGGCAAGGAUGUUGGCGUAAUGGUUGUCAGCGGCCCGUCUUGAAACACGGACCAAGGAGUCUAACAUCUAUGCGAGUGUUCGGGUGUCAAACCCCUACGCGUAAUGAAAGUGAACGGAGGUGGGAGCUUCGGCGCACCAUCGACCGAUCCUGAUGUCCUCGGAUGGAUUUGAGUAAGAGCAUAGCUGUUGGGACCCGAAAGAUGGUGAACUAUGCCUGAAUAGGGUGAAGCCAGAGGAAACUCUGGUGGAGGCUCGCAGCGGUUCUGACGUGCAAAUCGAUC
RNAcentral lists this ribosomal RNA (774 nucleotides) under Zasmidium ducassei. RNAcentral's name for it is "partial large subunit ribosomal RNA". It matches the Rfam family "Eukaryotic large subunit ribosomal RNA", at positions 91 to 903 of the family's 3401-position model. Lineage: Eukaryota; Fungi; Ascomycota; Dothideomycetes; Mycosphaerellales; Mycosphaerellaceae. The record is from RNAcentral.